GACGAACGCUGGCGGCGUGCUUAACACAUGCAAGUCGAACGGAAAGGCCCUGCUUUUGUGGGGUGCUCGAGUGGCGAACGGGUGAGUAACACGUGAGUAACCUGCCCUUGACUUUGGGAUAACUUCAGGAAACUGGGGCUAAUACCGGAUAGGAGCUCCUGCUGCAUGGUGGGGGUUGGAAAGUUUCGGCGGUUGGGGAUGGACUCGCGGCUUAUCAGCUUGUUGGUGGGGUAGGGGCUUCCCAAGGCUUUGGCGGGUAGCCGGCCUGGGAGGGUGCCCGGCCCCAUUGGGCCUGGGAUACGGCCCAGACUCCACCGGGGGGCAGCGGGGGGGAUUAUUGCACAAUGGGCGGAGGCCUGAUGCAGCAACGCCGCGUGCGGGAUGACGGCCUUCGGGUUGUAAACCGCUUUCGCCUGUGACGAAGCGUGAGUGACGGUAAUGGGUAAAGAAGCACCGGCUAACUACGU
RNAcentral lists this ribosomal RNA (467 nucleotides) under uncultured bacterium. RNAcentral describes it as "partial 16S ribosomal RNA". It matches the Rfam family "Bacterial small subunit ribosomal RNA", at positions 28 to 506 of the family's 1533-position model. The record is from RNAcentral.